UGCUCAGAUUCCUGAGCAGCACCUAAAAUUUUAAGAUAAGCUGAAGAUUGCAAAAUAUUUCCUCUUCAAGACUAGUUAGCAUAUUCCAUAUAGUUAUACUACACAAGCUCAACUUUGCAUGCACUUCAAGUCAAAAAUAGCUACACGUUCUUUCCAGUCUACUAAAUCUCAUAUUCAUCGCUAGACAAUCCAAUAUCUAUUCGGUACAUCCCUAACAGCACUAUUUGUUCUUCCAUAUUAUCACAACUCAUCAAUGUACUUAAACAAGACGUUGUUGCAGGAUUAUGCACUUAUUCUAAAACCUACCAGAAACCAUCUCGGAAUACUGACUCUUGUAGUUGUUCUUCAGGAUUCUUCUCACCGUCUCGUGAUUCACUAGCACUUCCAUUUUUCCCUGUCUUCUCAGUCCCAGACAUAAUCUCAUCACUUCCUUUACUUCCACCAAAGCCUUUUACAUUACCCAUCGGAGGCUUCUCAGCUUUAAACUUGUACUUCUUCUCAAACAUCAAACUUUUCUCAUCAUUUCCAGAUUCAUCCAACGGUUCUACGCGCAAUCCCGCCAAACCUUUCCUCUGUGAAUUCAACCGUUUCUCCAUGUUAGACAAUCUUGCUUCUAUCUCUUUCUCAAUAUCAAUCCCAGUUUCAUCAUCUUCUUCUUGCUUACCCUCACUUUUACGUGCUUCACGUGCCAUCAUUCUGAUCUCUGCAAUCUUCUCAUUCAUUUCAACAUCCUCUAGCAAAACCAAAUUGUUACCCUCACUAUCACUUGAAACUUCCGGCGUUUUCUCGGAUUUCGUUGAGUCUCCCAGAAACAAAACAGCACAAACAGUUUGAAAAGCGAAUAUUCCGAUCAACCACAAUCCAUACUUCGCUACUAACUUCGGAGAGAUCUUAGUUGAUAUACCAUUUACCUCAUUUGACACAACCGAGCUACUUAAGACCUGAAUCUCCUCUACAUCAGAAACUACGUCGCUUGAAGGAUCAUUUUCCGGCGUUUCGAUUCCGAUUAUGACUGUCUCUUGAGCUUUGGAUUUAGGGUUCUAAGGAUUUUGGGUCGCAGGUAAUUUUCCUUUUGAUGACUUCGACAGAACGGAAUCGAAGCCGAAGAACACCGGAUAACUUUUACAGAAACUCUCCUUCCGGUGGAGUACGACGGAAGGAAACUCGAAGGAGAUAAAAAGACGGCGCAUCGG
Molecule: long non-coding RNA, 1193 nt
Organism: Arabidopsis thaliana (thale cress)
Lineage: Eukaryota; Viridiplantae; Streptophyta; Magnoliopsida; Brassicales; Brassicaceae
Product: other RNA
Exons: 1
Source: RefSeq